This is a long non-coding RNA of Octopus bimaculoides (California two-spot octopus), 1567 nucleotides long. The record is from RefSeq and is a predicted model, not a curated record. Lineage: Eukaryota; Metazoa; Mollusca; Cephalopoda; Octopoda; Octopodidae.
UGAGAAUACAGAUUUAGUGGUAAAACGGUUUGACGUCUAUUUUUAGCAUACACGUGAUCCAUAAAGUGAUCUCUCAUAUUGUUUAUGUACACACGCAUACACACACACAUUCAUAUAUAAAUGCAUUGAUAUAUAAAUGCAUACAUGUCUACAUUCAAAACUUUGUAUCUUUUCCAUGUUUGUUAGAAACCAGCUCCGUCCUCAGAGGAAGAAUUCAAAUGAUUAUAAAUGGGAGUGAAUAUGCAUGCACCUAUGCGUAAUCACACACACGCACGCCCAACGCCGACGCACAGACGCACGCAUGCGCGCACACACAUCUCAUUAUAUUGGUAUAUAUUUCAAACUAAACCUCCGAUCAUCUUCAGCUACGAAGCCAGCCAGUCAUUUACGCGUUAAUUUAAAAUAAAAUGGCACCCAGCUGCUGGAGCUUGCAGCACUCAUUAAGCAAUAAAUGACUAUUAUGAUAAUAAUAAUUAUAAGCUCGAAUUUUAACUGGAAAAACAAAACGAAACAAAAAAGAUAAAGAUUAAAAAAAUAAAUAACCACAACGGAAAUUGCUCCCGACAUAAAAUUAAAUGCAGCAAGGAAGACGGUCGAAACAAAUUCUACAAAACUAUGACUAUGUAUUGUGUUGUCACACUUAUCAGGAAGCAACAGUGAAAACAGAAUGUUUCGGCUGAUAUACCCUUCAAAAUCAUCAGGUGUAUGGGGAAAUCAUCAGGUGUCUUGGGGAAAUCAUCAGGUGUCUUGGGGAAAUCAUCAGGUGUCUCGAAAGUAAUGUCAGCCAUUGAGAAAGAGGGAGAAACCUCCUCGUCGAAACAAAACUCCAGAAGAAAACCUAAACAUCCAGAUAGGGACCUUCGGACUCUUAAGCGAAUUAUUAGAAAGGAUCACAAAAGUACAGAUCCCAAAAUGACUACAGAGUUUAAUGACCACCUCGAGAACCCAGUUUCCACAAAAACUGUUCGCCAGGAGCUGCACAAAGCCAGAUUUCACUAGAGGACUGUAAUCAGAAAACCACUACUUUCAAAAACAAACCUUGCAAAGCAUUUAGAGUGGAGUAAAAACCCACAGAACUGGUCCCUAGAGCAAUGGAAGAAUGAUAUUUUGUCGGACGAGGUAAGCUGGCAGAAACGUUAGCACACCAGGCAAAAUGCUUAACGGUAUUUCGUCCGUCUUUACGUUCUAAGUUCAAAUUCCGCCCGGGUCGACUUUGGCAUGCAUCCUUUCGGGCUCGACAAUGUUAGUACCAGCUGGAAACUGGGAUCAAUGUCACCAACUUUCAACUUUACCCAAAACUGCUGGCUUUGUACUUAAACUUGAAAUCAAAAUUUCGAUCCUUUCAAUAAGCAUAUAUCACAAAUAUGAUUACAUUUGCUUGAUAUUCUCUUUGUCAAAUGCAUCCUUCUUUAGAUGACCACAUAUUUUGAAAUGUGUGACAGAGAGAAUAUGUAUUAAGAGGGUAAUUAUACGUUUCCAAUAAUGAAAAAUAGCUGGAAAAUAGCAGCUACAAGCGAUGAUAACAAACGAGAAGCAACUAGUCUUACUUUUAAAUAAAAGUCACGUA